CAGCAGCCGGAGUGGUGGUCGUGUUUAUUGGGCCUAAAGCGUCCGUAGCCGGUCUAGUAAAUCCUUUGAUAAAUCGUACAGCUUAACUGUACGGCUCCCGGGGAGACUGCUAGACUUGGGACUGGGAGAGGUCGGAGGUACUCCAGGGGUAGGGGUGAAAUCUUGUAAUCCUUGGGGGACCACCAGUGGCGAAGGCGUCCGACUAGAACGGGUCCGACGGUAAGGGACGAAGCCCUGGGGCGCGAACCGGAUUAGAUACCCGAGUAGUCC
Molecule: ribosomal RNA, 270 nt
Filed under: uncultured archaeon
Lineage: Archaea
Description: partial 16S ribosomal RNA
Rfam family: Archaeal small subunit ribosomal RNA
Source: RNAcentral